AGCAGACUAACAGGAUUCCCCUAGUAACUGCGAGUGAAGCGGGAAAAGCUCAAAUUUAAAAUCUGGUGGUCUUUGGCUACCCGAGUUGUAAUCUAGAGAAGCGUUAUCCGCGCUGGACCGUGUACAAGUCUCCUGGAAUGGAGCGUCAUAGAGGGUGAGAAUCCCGUCUUUGACACGGACUACCAGGGCUUUGUGAUGCGCUCUCAAAGAGUCGAGUUGUUUGGGAAUGCAGCUCUAAAUGGGUGGUAAGUUCCAUCUAAAGCUAAAUAUUGGCGAGAGACCGAUAGCGAACAAGUACCGUGAGGGAAAGAUGAAAAGAACUUUGGAAAGAGAGUUAAACAGUACGUGAAAUUGUUGAAAGGGAAACGCUUAAAGUCAGUCGCAUUGGCCAGGGAUCAACCUUGCUUUUGCUUGGUGCACUUCCUGGUUAAUGGGUCAGCAUCAAUUUUGACAAAUGGAAAAAGAUCAGGGGAAUGUGGCAUCUCCGGAUGUGUUAUAGCCCUUGGUUGUAUACAUUAGUCGGGAUUGAGGAACUCAGCACGCCGCAAGGCCGGGUUUUACCACGUUCGUGCUUAGGAUGCUGGCAUAAUGGCUUUAAUCGACCCGUCUUGAAACACGGACCAAGGAGUCUAACAUGCCUGCGAGUGUUUGGGUGGAAAACCCGAGCGCGUAAUGAAAGUGAAAGUUGGGAUCCCUGUCGCGGGGAGCACCGACGCCCGGACCAGACCUUCUGUGACGGAUCCGCGGUAGAGCAUGUAUGUUGGGACCCGAAAGAUGGUGAACUAUGCCUGAAUAGGGCGAAGCCAGAGGAAACUCUGGUGGAGGCUCGUAGCGAUUCUGACGUGCAAAUCGAUCGUCGAAUUUGGGGUAUAGGGGCGAAAGACUAAUCGAACCAUCUAGUAGCUGGUCCCUGCCGAAGUUUCCCUCAGGAUAGCAGAACUCAUAUCAGAUUUAUGUGGUAAAGCGAAUGAUUAGAGGGCCCUUGGGGUUGUAACAACCUUAACCUAUUCUCAAACUUUAAAUAUGUAAGAACGAGCCGUCUCUUGAUUGGACCG
This 1055-nucleotide ribosomal RNA is filed under the name Entoloma ekaterinae. RNAcentral's name for it is "partial large subunit ribosomal RNA". It matches the Rfam family "Eukaryotic large subunit ribosomal RNA", at positions 56 to 1102 of the family's 3401-position model. Lineage: Eukaryota; Fungi; Basidiomycota; Agaricomycetes; Agaricales; Entolomataceae. The record is from RNAcentral.